Molecule: ribosomal RNA, 429 nt
Filed under: Chloroflexota bacterium
Lineage: Bacteria; Bacillati; Chloroflexota
Description: Chloroflexi bacterium partial 16S ribosomal RNA
Rfam family: Bacterial small subunit ribosomal RNA
Source: RNAcentral
UGGGGAAUAUUGCACAAUGGGCGCAAGCCUGAUGCAGCCAUGCCGCGUGUAUGAAGAAGGCCUUCGGGUUGUAAAGUACUUUCAGUCGGGAGGAAGGUGGUAAGGUUAAUAACCUUAUCAAUUGACGUUACCGACAGAAGAAGCACCGGCUAACUCCGUGCCAGCAGCCGCGGUAAUACGGAGGGUGCAAGCGUUAAUCGGAAUUACUGGGCGUAAGGCGCACGCAGGCGGUUGAUUGAGUCAGAUGUGAAAUCCCCGGGCUUAACCCGGGAAUUGCAUCUGAUACUGGUCAGCUAGAGUCUUGUAGAGGGGGGUAGAAUUCCAUGUGUAGCGGUGAAAUGCGUAGAGAUGUGGAGGAAUACCGGUGGCGAAGGCGGCCCCCUGGACAAAGACUGACGCUCAGGUGCGAAAGCGUGGGGAGCAAACAGG